UCGCCGCUCGCGACGUCCUGAGAAGUCCACUGAACCUUAUCAUUUAGAGGAAGGAGAAGUCGUAACAAGGUUUCCGUAGGUGAACCUGCGGAAGGAUCAUUGUGGAAGACCCCAUAGAGGAGGACUGUGAACGUGUCAACCAAGCGGCGUCGUGCCGGGGGCCUCCCCUCGCUCGACUCCUGCCCUCGCCCUUGCAGCGGGGGCCGUCGACCAACAACCGGCGCAAUGGGCGCCAAGGAAGCUUGAAAAACGCGCGGGCCGUCCGGACACUGCUCCGGUCGGGCUGUGCUUUGUCAGAUUUGAAAUGACUCUCGGCAACGGAUAUCUCGGCCCUCGCAUCGAUGAAGAACGUAGCGAAAUGCGAUACGUGGUGUGAAUUGCAGAAUCCCGCGAACCAUUGAGUCUUUGAACGCAAGUUGCGCCCGAGGCCUUCCGGCCGAGGGCACGCCUGCCUGGGCGUCACGCCAUCGUCGCCAGCGCUCCCCCGCCCUCCUCGUGCGGGUGGGGCGGCCUGUGCGGACAUUGGCCCCCCGCGCUCCUUGGGCGCGGUCGACCGAAGAUCGGGCCGUCGCCGCUGACCGGACACGACGGGUGGUGGUGCUGCGAGCGAACCGAACGUCGUGCCCGGGCCGUGCUUUGACGAGGAGCCCCGGAGGAUCCCCCACCCCUCGMAAUGCGACCCCAGGUCAGGCGGGGCCACCCGCCGAGUUUAAGCAUAUAAAUAAGCGGAGGAGAAGAAACUUACGAGGAUUCCCAUAGUAACGGCGAGCGAACCGGGAUCAGCCCAGCUUGAGAAUCG
RNAcentral lists this ribosomal RNA (799 nucleotides) under Halopegia blumei. RNAcentral describes it as "eukaryotic LSU rRNA". The stretch from base 307 to 462 matches the Rfam family "5.8S ribosomal RNA". The record is from RNAcentral. Lineage: Eukaryota; Viridiplantae; Streptophyta; Magnoliopsida; Zingiberales; Marantaceae.